Synechococcus sp. is the source of this 60-nucleotide regulatory RNA element. It matches the Rfam family "Glutamine-II riboswitch aptamer". From Rfam's summary of the family: The major groove of the PK provides the binding site for L-glutamine The record is from Rfam. NCBI's taxonomy places the organism in Bacteria, Bacillati, Cyanobacteriota, Cyanophyceae, Synechococcales, Synechococcaceae.
AAUCGUUCACUCCGUUAUCGCGGAGCGCAGUCAAGCCAGGCCAUGGAACGGGGACCUGGA